AAAAAAUUAUGACCAAUUUAAAUUUCUAAGCCCACUAAAAUUAUAAUAGCACAAAAAGGAUAGAAGGGUCAUUAUAUUCAAGUUUAAAUAUCGAUUAUGAAAGCCUUGGACAUUGAAAGAAGAAAGAGAUUAGUUGAAAAAAGAAUUUGUGUGUGGAUUAGGGGGUAAGACUAUUGACUCAAGGAAAAUUGGAAGAGUACAUGGAGCGAGG
This 211-nucleotide long non-coding RNA is filed under the name Capsicum annuum. RNAcentral describes it as "long non-coding RNA (CANN_LNC019565)". Lineage: Eukaryota; Viridiplantae; Streptophyta; Magnoliopsida; Solanales; Solanaceae. The record is from RNAcentral.